RNAcentral lists this ribosomal RNA (428 nucleotides) under uncultured bacterium. RNAcentral's name for it is "bacterial SSU rRNA". It matches the Rfam family "Bacterial small subunit ribosomal RNA", at positions 32 to 439 of the family's 1533-position model. The record is from RNAcentral.
AAUCAACGCUGGCGGCGUGCCUAACACAUGCAAGUCGAACGCGAAAGCCCCGCAAGGGGUAAGUAGAGUGGCAAACGGGUGAGUAACACGUGGGUGAUCUGCCUCAGAGUGGGGGAUAACGACCCGAAAGGGUCGCUAAUACCGCAUAACAUCCUGCGCUUGGAUGCGUGGAGAUCAAAGUUGGGGAUUCGCAAGAACCUGACGCUUGGAGAGGAGCCCGCGGCCGAUUAGCUAGUUGGUGAGGUAACGGCUCACCAAGGCAACGAUCGGUAUCCGGCCUGAGAGGGCGGACGGGACACACCGGGACUGAGACACGGCCCAGACUCCUACGGGAGGCAGCAGUGGGGAAUUGUUCGCAAUGGGCGCAAGCCUGACGACGCAACGCCGCGUGGAGGACGAAGAUUUUCGGGAUCGUAAACUCCUUUCGA